AUCUAUGGUGACACCACCCUUAACAUGCCCAAUCUUGUCUGAUUUUGGAAGCUAACAAGGGUCAGGCCUGGUUCGUAUUUGGAUUAGACCACCUGGGAUUAGCAGGUGUGAAGACU
This 116-nucleotide ribosomal RNA is filed under the name Phascolarctos cinereus (koala). Lineage: Eukaryota; Metazoa; Chordata; Mammalia; Diprotodontia; Phascolarctidae. The record is from RNAcentral.